CAGUCGCCGCGGGAAAACGUAGGUGGCAAGCGUUGUCCGGAAUUAUUGGGCGUAAAGGGCUCGCAGGCGGUUUCUUAAGUCUGAUGUGAAAGCCCCCGGCUCAACCGGGGAGGGUCAUUGGGAACUGGGAAACUUGAGUGCAGAAGAGGAGAGUGGAAUUCCACGUGUAGCGGUGGAAUGCGUAGAGAUGUGGAGGAACACCAGUGGCGAAGGUGACUCUCUGGUCUGUAACUGACGCUGAGGAGCGAAAGCGUGGGGAGCGAACAGGAUUAGAUACCCCAGUAGUCCCUGUCUCUUAUAC
RNAcentral lists this ribosomal RNA (301 nucleotides) under uncultured bacterium. RNAcentral's name for it is "partial 16S ribosomal RNA". It matches the Rfam family "Bacterial small subunit ribosomal RNA", at positions 509 to 807 of the family's 1533-position model. The record is from RNAcentral.